Rhinopithecus roxellana (golden snub-nosed monkey) is the source of this 576-nucleotide long non-coding RNA. RefSeq lists it as uncharacterized. The record is from RefSeq and is a predicted model, not a curated record. The transcript has 4 exons. NCBI's taxonomy places the organism in Eukaryota, Metazoa, Chordata, Mammalia, Primates, Cercopithecidae.
CUCCCUAGAUCUUCCAUCCAGGAUAGCCUGGGAAUUGAUCUUGAUCCUAUCUGUUCCUCAUUAAAGCAGACCUGCUCAACUUCAGCAGGCAGGAGGAUUGUCUUUCACCAGCUGCAGGAGCCUGUUCCCACUACAAGCCUGGUGGAGUCUUCAGAGCAGAUCUGGUUCUCCUACUUGUAUAGACAAAAGAAACUGAGGCUCAGAAGAGACACGUGGCUGAGUUUAACAGGACUGCAACAAGAAUUUUGCCUUUCUACUUUCUGAUCCUUCGCAAGGAAUUUUCCUGAACAUCACCACUGAGGCUCCUUCCAGUAAUGACUCUGAUCCAUCAUUGGGAUCGCUGAGCAGUUGUUUCAUAACACGAGCAAGGUUGCUUUGACCGUGUUUCUUGACCUGGCCAUUUGGAUCCCAAGGAUGUUUUGGUCCAAGAAUAAAUCCCAGAGCUUAGGUCACCAAAGAAGAGAGGAAAACUUGUCAGAUGGGGAAGGACUUGUCAAGAGCAUGCACACAGAUUUACUCUUCAGCCAGAAGCUCCAAUUCCUAGAUGAUCCGAAUCCAACUCAGAGUGCCUGCACC